AGCUGUGAUGAAUGAGAUUUAGUAUGACCUGGUAUUGCACGUUAAGUCUGCAUUGACCAGAUAAUGAUCACGUGAUCUUCUCUCUGAGCUG
Small nucleolar RNA from Bufo bufo (common toad), 91 nucleotides. RefSeq annotates it as Z30 small nucleolar RNA. NCBI's taxonomy places the organism in Eukaryota, Metazoa, Chordata, Amphibia, Anura, Bufonidae. The transcript has a single exon. The record is from RefSeq and is a predicted model, not a curated record.